This 630-nucleotide ribosomal RNA is filed under the name uncultured bacterium. RNAcentral's name for it is "bacterial SSU rRNA". It matches the Rfam family "Bacterial small subunit ribosomal RNA", at positions 338 to 1435 of the family's 1533-position model. The record is from RNAcentral.
CCUACGGGAGGCAGCAGUAAGGAAUAUUGGUCAAUGGACGAAAGUCUGAACCAGCCAUGCCGCGUGAAGGAUGAAGGCCCUCUGGGUUGUAAACUUCUUUUAUCUGGGACGAAAAAAGCUCAUUCUUGAGCACUUGACGGUACCAGAGGAAUAAGCACCGGCUAACUCCGUGCCAGCAGCCGCGGUAAUACGGAGGGUGCAAGCGUUAUCCGGAUUCACUGGGUUUAAAGGGUGCGUAGGUGGGUCUGUAAGUCAGUGGUGAAAUCUCCGGGCUUAACUCGGAAACUGCCAUUGAUACUAUAGGUCUUGAAUCAUCUGGAGGUAAGCGGAAUAUGUCAUGUAGCGGUGAAAUGCUUAGAUAUGACAUAGAACACCAAUUGCGAAGGCAGCUUACUACGGGUGUAUUGACACUGAGGCACGAAAGCGUGGGGAUCAAACAGGAUUAGAUACCCUGGUAGUCCACGCCCUAAACGAUGGAUACUCGACAUCAGCGAUACACUGUUGGUGUUNUGAGACGAAGACAUUAAGUAUCCCACCGUCGGAAGGUACGACCGCGAGGUUAGAACGUACGAACGGAAGUUAGACGGCGUGAGACGUUAGCCGACGGACGACGACGAGGGGAGGUUAGGG